AGUCGAGGGGCAUCAGGGAUUAGCAAUAAUCCGCUGGCGACCGGCGCACGGGUGAGUAACACGUAUUCAACCUUCCGAUAACUCGGGGAUAGCCUUUCGAAAGAAAGAUUAAUACUCGAUAGUAUAUUUUCUUCGCAUGUUGAAAAUAUUAAAGAAUUUCGGUUAUCGAUGGGAAUGCGUUCCAUUAGGCAGUUGGCGGGGUAACGGCCCACCAAACCUACGAUGGAUAGGGGUUCUGAGAGGAAGGUCCCCCACAUUGGAACUGAGACACGGUCCAAACUCCUACGGGAGGCAGCAGUGAGGAAUAUUGGUCAAUGGACGAGAGUCUGAACCAGCCAAGUAGCGUGAAGGAUGACUGCCCUAUGGGUUGUAAACUUCUUUUAUAAGGGAAUAAAGUGAGGGACGUGUCCCUUUUUGUAUGUACCUUAUGAAUAAGGAUCGGCUAACUCCGUGCCAGCAGCCGCGGUAAUACGGAGGAUCCAAGCGUUAUCCGGAUUUAUUGGGUUUAAAGGGAGCGUAGGUUGACAUAUAAGUCAGCUGUGAAAGUUUACGGCUCAACCGUGAAAUUGCAGUUGAUACUGUAUGUCUUGAGUGUACAAGAGGUGGGCGGAAUUCGUGGUGUAGCGGUGAAAUGCUUAGAUAUCACGAAGAACUCCAAUUGCGAAGGCAGCUCACUGGGGUACAACUGACACUGAGGCUCGAAAGUGUGGGUAUCAAACAGGAUUAGAUACCCUGGUAGUCCACACAGUAAACGAUGAAUACUCGCUGUUUGCGAUAUAC
Molecule: ribosomal RNA, 780 nt
Filed under: uncultured bacterium
Lineage: Bacteria
Description: bacterial SSU rRNA
Rfam family: Bacterial small subunit ribosomal RNA
Source: RNAcentral